GAUGAAGAACGUAGCGAAAUGCGAUAAGUAGUGUGAAUUGCAGAAUUCAGUGAAUCAUCGAAUCUUUGAACGCACAUUGCGCCCCUUGGUAUCCCGAGGGGCAUGCCUGUUCGAGCGUCAUUUCACCACUCAAGCCUGGCUUGGUGUUGGGCGACGUCCUCUUUGGGGACGCGCCUCGAAACGCUCGGCGGCGUGGCACCGGCUUUAAGCGUAGCAGAAUCUUUCGCUUUGGAAGUCGGGGCCCCGUCUGCCGGAAGACCUGCUCGCAAGGUUGACCUCAGAUCAGGCAGGGAUACCCGCUGAACUUAAGCAUAUCAAUAAGCGGAGGA
Molecule: unclassified non-coding RNA, 329 nt
Filed under: soil metagenome
Description: partial contains 5.8S ribosomal RNA, internal transcribed spacer 2, and large subunit ribosomal RNA
Rfam family: 5.8S ribosomal RNA (bases 1-120)
Source: RNAcentral